UCCUGUGUGGGUUGCCUCAAGUUACGGAAAUURACCCCGGAUGAGUCCUAWUUUUCGCCUCUCGCCAAUUUGUGGUGUCAGGUUGACGUGGAAGUACUGCCCAUUCUCCUUGAAUGCUUCGCCCUUUUGCGUUGCAAUCAUGGCCCAUGGGUUGCUACUAGUUCCCUCGGAUGCAGAACCUUUGAAGGGUGCACAGCAUGCUGCUGUUGUUUACCCACGAAGCGUUCACGGCUCGAUGCGUACGACGGUUGUGCCCGCCUUGGUCCCGUCUUUAACUAGUUUAGGAYGGGUCUCAUGCGGUGYCGGCGUCGCGAAGGAAUGCUACCUGGUUGAUCCUGCCAGUAGUCAUAUGCUUGUCUCAA
RNAcentral lists this unclassified non-coding RNA (362 nucleotides) under Pouteria caimito. RNAcentral describes it as "partial contains external transcribed spacer and 18S ribosomal RNA". The record is from RNAcentral. Lineage: Eukaryota; Viridiplantae; Streptophyta; Magnoliopsida; Ericales; Sapotaceae.